Molecule: non-coding RNA, 3105 nt
Organism: Myodes glareolus (Bank vole)
Lineage: Eukaryota; Metazoa; Chordata; Mammalia; Rodentia; Cricetidae
Source: RefSeq, a predicted model, not a curated record
UAUGUCAGGGGUGUCCCUGCAUGGAGGCCUAGAGAGGCCAAUAUGUGAAGGUGUGAGGCUUCUGAAGCCUGGAUUUCCUUGGAGACCCCAAGAUGUUUGAGAUGCCAAAGCUGUGGAUCCCCAUUAAGGAAAGCUGCUAACAGGGAGUGGACGCAGCCCAAGAGAAAGAAGUACGCUGCAGUCAACAAAGCUGAGAGGACCGGGAAAACUGAAGAGCCCUUUGAUGUCAGGCAUGGAGGGACCGAGUUGGGUUUUGGUCUUGCUUUGGUCCAGUGUUUAUUUCCUCAUGACACCCUCUUUCCUCCCUUUGCAAAUGGGAAUGUGUAUUCUGUGACAUUGUAUGUGGAAACAUGGAAUUUGAGUUUUGCUUUUACUUGCCCGUUACAAUGGAGAGAUUGCCUUGAGUCUCGGAAGAAAUUUUGGACUUUGACAUAGUCUUGAGACUGUGAUAGCCUACGGGGACUUUUGAAGUUUGACAAAGUGAAUUCGGCUUUAUGAUAUAGCAGCAAGCCUGUGGAGGGCCAGAGAAUGGAAUGUGUGGUUGGAAUCAACCCCCACAGGCUCAUAUAUAUGAGUGCUUGGUCUCCAGUUGGUAGAACUUCUGGAAGGGAUUAGGAGGUGGGGCCUUUUGGAGGAGGUAUGUCACCGGAAGUGGAUUAGAGGUCUCAAAAGCCCACAGAACAUGGACAAGCCUCUCUCUGGGGGUAGUAGAAGACGAGAAAAUGGACAGGACUCUAUUUCUGAUGGAGUGUGCAGAUGGAAUUGGAAACAGACACAAAAGGUUGAGGAGAAUGGAGCCCAUGUGAAGACUGGAGGACAGGGAGUGAUUGGUCAGCUUUUCCUGCCCUUCCCCCACAUUCAGGAGUCCUUUGUGACAGGGAGACAAGGAGCUCUGUGAUGCAGGCCUGGGCCCAGCUGCCAAUUCCAGAGAGAACUCUCAGCGUUCAGUUGCCUGAGAGCAACAGUGCGAUUCAGAUGGAGAAUUUUCUCUCUUCUGGAAAGCGUUGAUCCUUCAUGGCUGACCCCCAGCUUCUCCAAUUGGACGAUGGAUGUGAUCUUUGCCUUUGUGUGUGGGCUGGGGCUCUUCCACCUAUUAUUACCCCUCCUCCACCAGCAGAAAACACCACCACCCAAAGGGUGGUGAAGAUGAAACACAGAAAGGUCAGGAGAAGAAAAUCAGGAUCCUACUUCCUUCCCCUGGCGAGAUGACUUCAACUCCCAUGAUCCCCCAGCCCCAGUGAUAACACCAAUGAGUUGCAGAACCUCCAGCCCCCUGAAGAGGUGACUUCUGGGGAGGAACCCAGAAUUGAAGACACUUCCGGGGAUCACUUCUGUGCUCAGAAUGGAAUGAAGCUAUGGACGUCCAGGGCUGGGUGCUGUGUGGGGAGGGAUGGUGUGGGAGGAAGGAGCACCAUGCUGCCUGGAUUUGGAGGCAAAUUGGUUGUUAGACUUCUCUGAGACAUUUUCUUCUUUCAGAGCACCGGUCUUUCCCUCCCUUCCACAAGGAAGCCCAUGGAAGUUGUUAGAAGUGGAAGCGCUUGGUCCAUAGCACAAUCCUGCCCAACAUGCGCCUCGCUCACGGAUGACUGAGCUCCUAUUUAACUGUUCAUUUCCACUGAAAAAGAGAGUUCGUUCAGUCUCUGGUAAGAUACCGGGUCCCUCCUAUACCCACCAUAACUCCGUCUCCAUUUCCAUCUUCCAGAGGCAGCAGGGAGAAACCGAAAGAAGACAAGGCACUGGUUUUACUUCUGCACAGAAAAAGUUGGUCAUACUGCCUCAACGGCUGUUGUGAAGAUGUGUCGUGAAGAUGAAUCUGGAUACAGACACUGGCGCUCGCUACCUGUUUCCUACUGUUUUGCACCCAAGGAUUUAUCCUUAGACAUCUGCACCUCUGCUUCGUUUGCUUUGUUGGGUGGAUACCUCAAUUCUCCUUUUAUGUAGUUUCCCUGUCUCUCAAAUGAAUAACCAUUGGUUUCUGCUGUACUCCAAAGUCAUCCGUGGUUCUCACGAGCAGAGGUUCUAAUACAGUCCCUCAUCUUGGCAUCUGUAAUAGACUCACGAUGUUAUCCAAGUGCCUGAGGCCUAUGGAGGGAAAGCUCUCUGCUUCGAUCCAAAGGAUGGAGUCCACCUCUUGGAGGAGAUGUGCCAUUGUCUCCUCCACAGUUAAUCUGUUCAGGACAGCUGAUUGCCUGGUCAAGGGAUUAUUCUUCAGGAAAUCAGAUUCAUCGGUGAAAGAGGUGAAAGGAAGAGCUAGCAUGUUAAUGAGACAGUUUCUUUCCCAGAAGUCCUGCACUAAUACCAUCACCCAUGAAGCCGCAGCCACACGGGUGUACAUGGAUGAAUGGAACCAAAGUUGGUAAAACUAGCAACAUGAACUUUCAACAAAGGGAAUCCUGAGCCACCUCUCGACCUGAAGAGAUAAAAGAAGGGUUUGGUGUUGAUGGAGCCUGGGGAGAAUAGAAGCCGUAGAAGAGGAUCUUCUAGAGACUUAUAACUUGUCAAAAUGAUAAGAAAAAACCUGCAGUGUUCACCCCUCAACUGGAUCUUAUCAUCCCCACCUAGACUCAGGGGACAAUAGAGAGUACAAGAGUCUGGGGAAGGGGCGGGGCGCUGCAGAACACGGUCUUUCAGGCUCACAGUGGCUGUGGUCGCCUGCAUAACUUUGGGCUAUCAACAACCUGUCAUGGAGGAGAGAGACUCAAGAGACCCCACCUUUUCCUAAUAAGGCAAAUCAUUAAAAAGGAAAAUCUGCUAGAAGGAAAGCUACUGCCAAGAAAUAAAGUCACUGUCAAAAGGUAAAGUUUCAAACCCUGGGCAAAGGCUGAGGUGCAUAUUUAACACAUCAAAUGUUAACUAUGGCCUCCAGGUUCUCCCAGCAUCCCUCGGUCCCUACCUUAGGUAGGGCUGACAUACCCCACCCUCUACCCUGAACUAUCCAGUCCAGGUGCAGGGCUGCCCUUCCCCGAAAGGCUCAUCCCUAUAGAAUCCAGACAGUUUGGUUACCUACCCCUUUGAACCUUUAGCCUCCUGACUGCUGCACCUGGUUCCCCUCUCUCCUCUCUUCCUUCCCCUCUCUCUCUUCCCACAUGGCCCAGCUCAGUCUGG